CAGAUCUAUGCAUGAAAUCAUCAGCAUUUGAAAAUUCCAGCUAUAAGACAUGCAAUCAGGUUUCUCCUUAAUGACACCAGCUAUUCAACUACAUCAUACCUCCAGACCUUCAAGUGGCUUCUCAGAGAAUUUCAAGCCCAGUUCAUAGUCUGUUCUUUGUUGACAGAGUUCAACAAGCCCUGUGAGAAGGAGACUAGAGAAAUAUGAAAAAAACAUUCAAGACUCCACGAACAUCUUCAAGUACCUUGCUCCUUUGGACAGUGGAGCUGUCAUAUGUAUAGGUCAUAUCACAGAAACAUUAUAGAAUCAUAAAAUGGUUUGGGUUAAAAGGGACCUCAAAGACCAUCCUGUUCCAACCCCCUGCCAUGAGUGGGGUCAUGAACGACUAAAUCAUGCACCAGAUUAGGUUGCCCAGGUCCCCAUCCAACCUGGCCUUGAAUGCCUCUAGGGAUGAGGCAUCCACAUCUUCUCUGGAAAUCCCUAGGUGAGAGAUAAAACUUCCUUGGAAACCAGUCUAAGUGCAAAGAUGAGCCCUUGAGUAAGAAAUUACGUCCACGAAACUCACUUCCAUCUACUCCGAGUCCUUUCUUCAAGCUCACCUUCUUUUGUAUCUUAAUCACGCAGUGUAUGAACUCCCUUUCUCAAAAGAACCCAACCAAUCCAACAAACACCAGUGAAAGGGAAAGAAGCAAAGAACAAACAAUUUUUUCCAGUGAUGGGGACAACAUAAGAAGCAGUAUAAGAAGAGAACUGCAUAAGAAUGAAAAUCUAUGCUUAUGGUCUCAGUGCAAAUAUUACUUCUUAAGGAACAGUGGGCCUUGCAGAGCGCUAAUUACGGAUGAAACCAGUCUAAGCCUUUAAAAGAAAAGAAGGACGUACAGGAGGAAAUCCACAGCAUUUGACUGGACCUGCAGUUCCAAUUCAGGACCAUUCCUUGGAAAUUCAGACUGAGGCCACACAACAGCAGAGCCCAGCUGAUGCCAUCAACACAACUAGGAAUCUCUUAGCACUCACCUGCAAGCAAAUCUCCAUGUAAGUGAUGAGACUGGAGCCAAUACACGAACAAGAAGGAUCUGGGGACUCCCAAGCUCCCUUCCAAAGCCAGCAGAGUUGUAUGAGCUGCUACCUUAGCAUCUCCUUGGAGCUGGGCCAGCACAUCAAGGGUGAAGAGGAGUUGAAUCCUGCCUUUAGCUCUGGCCCUGGUUUUCCACGUGGGGUUCCUCUUCCAAUGAAUGCAGCCACACACCACUCCAGAUGUUCAAAGAGGGACCAGCCUCCCACAGACCCUAUGGGAAUGAUGAACAAAAGGACAGUGAGCAACGACGUGUCUUCAAAUCUUCAGUUCACAAGCCACCAUGAGCUGUUUGCCCUGUACGUUAUAGGAAGCAAAGCAUAAUCUCAGCUGGGUCACAGGUGAACAAGUAGGUGCUGUUGCCCUCAGGCAGCUUGACGGGAUACCAUCACCUACUGGACACAGCGUGUUAAAGAUGAACCUCCUUUAAAAUAGCUAAUGACCUUCAGCCUGCUAACUCCAUGUGUGCCCAGCUGCUUGUUAGAGGUCAAGAAAUGCCUGGUUAAAAGCUCCUGCCCCAACUCCCACCCAGCAUGGCCAAGUCUCCUGAGACUUGCUUGGCAGCCCAACCACAUAUGGAGCUGAAUCACAGUACACAUUCCUCCACUGGGGUCCUCUCAAUGUUAGGAGACGACAUGGCCUGCCCCAAUGGACAUGGGAAUAGUUUUUCCAGAAAACAUAUUGACAUAUAGGAAGAAAGUUCUCUGCAUCAGCCAAUGCAGAGCCCUCAAACAGGGGUAGGAUGCAUCCAAACUUGUAUUAUUAUUAUUUAAUAAACAAGUUAUUGUGCCUUUUUCUUGAAUCCACAAUAGGAAAAAGGUAGAUGUGGCACCGAGGGAUAUGGUUAGUGGACGUGGUGGGGAUAGGUUGAUGGCUGGGCUAGAUGGAAAAGAUCUUAGCGGUCUUUUCCAAACUUAAUGAUUUUAUGAUUCUAUGAAGGAAUAAAUCAAACGGCUUUUUGCAUCCAUCAUCUCUUUAGACAGGACUUGCACAGUGCUCUCAGCUGCUGAAAAGCCUCACUAACCUAAUCUAAGUGAAAAUUUAACAAUCAAA
Long non-coding RNA from Gallus gallus (chicken), 2125 nucleotides. The record is from Ensembl. NCBI's taxonomy places the organism in Eukaryota, Metazoa, Chordata, Aves, Galliformes, Phasianidae.